CCAAUAAAGAUGUGUGUUAAGUGAAGUGCUCACACAGAUUGUCUGAUGAAAAUAACGAGCAGAAAUACCUUAAUAGGCUUGUAGCUCAGGUGGUUAGAGCGCACCCCUGAUAAGGGUGAGGUCGGUGGUUCAAGUCCACUCAGGCCUACCAACUCUUCCAUGAGUGGUAUCUAAGGUAACUGUAAGUAGAGAUGGGGCUAUAGCUCAGCUGGGAGAGCGCCUGCCUUGCACGCAGGAGGUCUGCGGUUCGAUCCCGCAUAGCUCCACCAUCACUACUCGGUAUGAUAAAAAACAGUACUUCAGUUGUACCAGUUACCUGUUACUGCGAUAUGCUGCGAAGUAUUUUGCUCUUUAACAAUCUGGAACAAGCUGAAAAUUGAAACAUGACAGCUGAACAUGCAUGACUGCCUUCGGGCGGGUCGUGAUGAAUCAGCAUGUCAAUGAGUCUCUCAAAUAAUCGCAGCGCGAGGAUGAAUCGAAAGAAACAUCUUCGGGUUGUGA
RNAcentral lists this unclassified non-coding RNA (501 nucleotides) under Pectobacterium atrosepticum. Its description in RNAcentral is "partial 16S-23S ribosomal RNA intergenic spacer". The stretch from base 350 to 494 matches the Rfam family "Salmonella enterica Typhi npcRNA 44". Lineage: Bacteria; Pseudomonadati; Pseudomonadota; Gammaproteobacteria; Enterobacterales; Pectobacteriaceae. The record is from RNAcentral.